UACAGAGGUCUCUAGCGUUGUUCGGAUUUACUGGGCGUAAAGGGCGCGUAGGCGGCGUGGUGUGUCGAGUGUGAAAUCUCCGGGCUCAACCCGGAAAGUGCGCUCGAAACUGCCAUGCUCGAGUGCGGGAUGGGGAAUCGGAAUAUAGGGUGUAGCGGUGAAAUGCGUUGAUAUCCUAUAGAACACCGGAGGCGAAGGCGGAUUCCUGGAACGCAACUGACGCUGAGGCGCGAAAGUCGGGGGAGCAAAC
This 250-nucleotide ribosomal RNA is filed under the name uncultured prokaryote. RNAcentral's name for it is "partial 16S ribosomal RNA". It matches the Rfam family "Bacterial small subunit ribosomal RNA", at positions 524 to 773 of the family's 1533-position model. The record is from RNAcentral.